GACGAACGCUGGCGGCGUGCUUAACACAUGCAAGUCGAACGGAAAGGCCCUACGUUUGUUGGGUUCUCGUUUGGCGAACGGGGGAGUAACACGUGUGUAACCUGCCCUUGUCUUUGUGGUAACUUUAGGAGACAGGGGCUCAUACCGGAUAGGAUCUCCUGCUGCAUGGUGGGCGUUAGAAAGUGUCGGCGGUUGGGGAUGGACUCGCUGCUUAUGCGCUUGAUUGUCGGGUAGUGGCUUACCAAGGCUUUGACGGGUAGGCGGCAUGAGAGGGUUACCGGCCACAUGGGGCCUGAGAUAGGGCGCAGACUGCUACGUGAGGCAGUAGUGGGGAACAUUGCGGAAUGGGCGGAAGCCUGAUGUGGCAACGCUGCGUGCGGGAUGACCGCUUUCGGGUUGUAAACCGCUUUCGCAUGUGAUGAAGCGUGAGUGACGGUAAUGGGUCAAGAAGCCCCGGCUAACUACGUG
RNAcentral lists this ribosomal RNA (468 nucleotides) under uncultured bacterium. Its description in RNAcentral is "partial 16S ribosomal RNA". It matches the Rfam family "Bacterial small subunit ribosomal RNA", at positions 28 to 507 of the family's 1533-position model. The record is from RNAcentral.